GGAGGAAGUAGGGACUACCCUGGGCCAGGGGCAGGGCAAAUGGCUGGAUGGCCAAAUUGCAUCUGAAGGAGUAGCUGUCACAUGAAGAAUCCUACACAGGGGCCGAUGGAGUUGAAGAGGAGAGAUGCUUUUACCUUAGCUGAUUGCCCAGAGAGAUAAAGAAAGGAAAGCUGAAAAUCUUGGUGACAUCAUCAUGAGCACUCCCUCAUACUGGCACAGUAAACACCAAACCCUGCCCUCCUACCGACCUCACUUGGAGGCCUCUGACUUGUAUCUUACACUUGCCGCAUAGUGACCACAGGAACGUGGAAUGCUGACAGUGCUGAGAAGUGGUGGUUUCCUCACCUAGAUAUCAAACUUUAAAAAUCAGAGCAGUCAAUUUUAACAAUACAGUUGCAAUUAUAAUUACAUUUUAAAAUACAAUUUCAGAUUGUUCUUAAAUCCCAACAAUUUUUUCUAUGAUGGUGACAGUUUUGGCCUUAGCGUGGCCAGGUACUGAUUUUUAGCUAACAUUGGAC
RNAcentral lists this long non-coding RNA (518 nucleotides) under Homo sapiens (human). RNAcentral describes it as "HSALNT0311627". Lineage: Eukaryota; Metazoa; Chordata; Mammalia; Primates; Hominidae. The record is from RNAcentral.